CUUGGAAGGAACUCCACACCAAAUUAAUUUGGACGCCACCUUAUUUUUGGGUGAUGGAAUGGAAGAGUCCAUUUCAUGUUGGACUCUUAACUUCCUUUAAUAUUCCAUGCAUUUCUUCACUCCACGUGCCAUCUGAUGGCUCCUAGAAAUUUGUUGGCAUAGAAGUGGAGGAGUCUUUCUGCUUGAAGGCUCUUCCACACCUAAAAACUUCUAUAUGAAGAAUUUAUUCUUUGUGGAAGAUUAGGGGUUAAUGCGUGGGAUUUAUUUGUGUCAAAUUUUAUUUUUCUCCCUUGCCUCUUAACUCUUGCAUGCCUAAUUUAUGGGACU
This 327-nucleotide long non-coding RNA is filed under the name Elaeis guineensis (African oil palm). Its description in RNAcentral is "long non-coding RNA (EGUI_LNC069373)". The record is from RNAcentral. Lineage: Eukaryota; Viridiplantae; Streptophyta; Magnoliopsida; Arecales; Arecaceae.